UACGUAGGCAGCAAGCGUUGUUCGGAAUUACUGGGCGUAAAGGGUGCGUAGGCGGCUUUUUAAGUUUGGUGUGAAAUCUCCCGGCUCAACUGGGAGGGUGCGCCGAAUACUGAGAAGCUAGAGUGUGGGAGAGGAAAGUGGAAUUCCUGGUGUAGCGGUGAAAUGCGUAGAUAUCAGGAGGAAUACCCGUGGCGAAGGCGGCCCCCUGGGCCGAACCUGACGCUGAGGCGCGAAGGCUAGGGGAGCGAACGAGG
Molecule: ribosomal RNA, 254 nt
Filed under: uncultured bacterium
Lineage: Bacteria
Description: partial 16S ribosomal RNA
Rfam family: Bacterial small subunit ribosomal RNA
Source: RNAcentral